This is a long non-coding RNA of Populus nigra (black poplar), 852 nucleotides long. RefSeq lists it as uncharacterized. The transcript has 2 exons. NCBI's taxonomy places the organism in Eukaryota, Viridiplantae, Streptophyta, Magnoliopsida, Malpighiales, Salicaceae. The record is from RefSeq and is a predicted model, not a curated record.
GGGAUUUAUCUUAAUCCACCCAGCAUUUUACGUAUCGGGUUAAUGUCAAAUUCAGAUUUUAGUAAAAAAAACAAAUAUUUUUUAACUUUUUUUUUAACCUUUUCUCUUUAUUCUUUUCUUAUUUCUUUUUUUUUUUCCACUUUUAUUCUCCUUCUGCUUCUUUCUCCUCUCCGUAUCCCUUCUCUCUUCAUCUCUUUUCUCUCUUCAAAAUAUAUCAUUUCCUCUUCCUAAAUUGAGGUCAAUUUCUCCUCAGGUUGAAUUGUUUUUUCUCUGCCUUGCUUUGUCAUUGAUGAUUGGUGAUCUUGCUUCACAACCAGAGGGUUAUACUAAGGAAAACUCAUUUGCAAAAGUGUUAUGAGAUCGGGGAGAGAGUGAAGGGAAGCUUGUUGGUGGUGUGGUUAGUCAGAGAAAGAAGAGAGGAACUGGUGAUCCGUUGUGACGGCAGAGAGAGAGUUGAAGACCAAUUAUUUUUGCGUCUUUUCCCUUGCUCCGUUGCUGUCGGUGUCAUUAUGCAAUUUAUCGGAUGAUGAUGAUAUAGAUAUUUUUUCUAACACAAUAUAAAUCAUUGAAAAUGAUCUUAGAGACCCGUCAAAACGAGAAAGUCAGAAUCUUUCACAAAAUAAUUUUUUAUUGGACGAGUACAUAAUCAAUAAGCUCACACUGACCCGCUAAUUUAAUUAAGAUCUAAUUCAAGAUUUUUCUUGGGAAGUGUCAGGAGGUAAUUUGAACAAUAAAUCAAUUACGAUUGCAAACUUAUAAUAUUUUUAGAUUUUUUUUAUUAAGUGUACGUGUUCGUUUGUUUUUUUAUUUAGAAUGUAAAGGGUUGUCAAGUAUAUAAAUAAUAGGAUAUAA